AUUGAACGCUGGCGGCAUGCUUUGCACAUGCAAGUCGAACGGCAGCGGGGGCUUCGGCCUGCCGGCGAGUGGCGAACGGGUGAGUAAUGCAUCGGAACGUGCGCAUGUCGUGGGGGAUAACGUAUCGAAAGGUACGCUAAUACCGCAUACGCCCUGAGGGGGAAAGCGGGGGAUUCUUCGGAACCUCGCGCGAUUGGAGCGGCCGAGGUCGGAUUAGCUAGUAGGUGAGGUAAAGGCUCACCUAGGCGACGAUCCGUAGCGGGUCUGAGAGGAUGAUCCGCCACACUGGGACUGAGACACGGCCCAGACUCCUACGGGAGGCAGCAGUGGGGAAUUUUGGACAAUGGGCGCAAGCCUGAUCCAGCCAUGCCGCGUGAGUGAAGAAGGCCUUCGGGUUGUAAAGCUCUUUCGGCCGGGAAGAAAUCGCAUUCUCUAAUAUAGGAUGUGGAUGACGGUACCGGACUAAGAAGCACCGGCUAACUACGUGCCAGCCGCCGCGGUAA
Molecule: ribosomal RNA, 503 nt
Filed under: uncultured bacterium
Lineage: Bacteria
Description: partial 16S ribosomal RNA
Rfam family: Bacterial small subunit ribosomal RNA
Source: RNAcentral